Cucumis sativus (cucumber) is the source of this 1734-nucleotide long non-coding RNA. RefSeq lists it as uncharacterized. Lineage: Eukaryota; Viridiplantae; Streptophyta; Magnoliopsida; Cucurbitales; Cucurbitaceae. The record is from RefSeq and is a predicted model, not a curated record. The transcript has 2 exons.
GUUAAAAUUUUUUUCUUUUUUCCUUUUCUUUUCUUUUUCCUUUUUCUUUCUUUUCCCUAUUUCCUUCUUCCUCCCCGUGCGUCCUUCCCCUUCUCCCCAGCCGCAACCGCCGCGCCUCUUCUCCUUCCUCCCGUACGCCGCGACGACUCCACCGUCUCCUUCUCCCUUCCCUUCCGUUUCCUUCCCGCCGCAGCCCAGCCGCAACCAGCCGUCUUUCUCUUCCGUUCUCUUUCCGCCGCAGCCCAGCCGUAGCCCGCGAUCUGCCGUCUCCAUCUCCGGUUCGCGAAGCAACCUUGCAGCAGUCGUCCCGCGCGCCGAUCUGCCGUCUCCAUCGCCGGUUCUGUCUUCGUCGAAGCCCGAGCCGCCGUGUGAACCAGUAACCGCCACGUUCGCCGCUCACAACCGCCGUAAAGCCAGCCGCGCAACCUUCAUUCCAACCGCUGCACUGCCGCGCGAUUCUCCGGCCACGUCUUCUUUAGCCGACCGCUGACCGACCCACACUUAGGAUUUUGCUGCGAGUUCGACAGUCGUGCGUUGAGUGUUGGGAGUAACCUUGGGCUCCCUUAAAUUCACAACCAAAUUGUGAAUUGUUGAGGGUUCAGUUCGCCAAUAUUUCGGAUUUGAUUCAUUGGAUUUAGUCGAUUGAAGAAUUUGCAUAGAAAUCGAGGGGAAGGGGUGUGUAAGGGAUUUUGAUUUUAGUCAUUGAAUGCCAGUGUGUAGCGCCCACCUCCAGGUGACGGAUUUUCAGCAGCCACCGUCGCCCUCUUCCAAUUUUGUUUUCGACAACCCUCUCUAUUCUAUGUUGCUGUUUCCAAUGGGGUUGUAUUAUCUUCUGGAGUAUACAUGUUGGAUUUGUUGUAGAUGUAGCCAUGGUUUUCCUCCUUCGUUGCUUAUUCUUAACUUCAUGUAACUUAUAGCCAUCUAAUUCGUUUCUUCUUCCUAUUUUUUCUCCUCUUCUAAUGGCAUCUUUCAUUCUCUACAUCCAACUUGCGCAACCGUGAUAUAUUCUCCAAGGUAAGUAUCUCUUUAAUGGACGUCAAAAGACUGCAUCUUGAAAAAUGAUUUCAUCCAAGAUAUAUUCAUAUGGGCUUUUUUAUUCCUUUGAAAGAAUGCCAUUCAUAUAUUACACAUCCUUAUACCUGAGUUUACAAGGUUGUUAUAGUACUUUCGCGUUUCAUGAGUGAAAAGAUAGAAUCAAGUUGCGGAAUUACGUUCAUUUUUAGAGCUCUUAAGUGAUUGAAGAUAGUUGAUGUAUAUUUAUUUUCUCAAAAGUCACAUUUUUUGCAAGUUUGGUUUACUUUGGAUUUAUUAAAGAUAAUACCAGUUCACUUAUUGAUUCCAUUCAUUCCCGAAAAAAUUCUUUAAAAAAAUUUAGUUUAACACCAAGAAUCGCUUUGAGGAUUUAUCUCCUUAAGGGUUGUCGGAACCAUAUACUGAACAUCUACAAUACGUUUGAUCAUAGUUAACUUUACAAUGAUCUAGUUGAUAGUCUUCCUAUUUGUUGAGCUUCUCUUUUAGAUUGAAGGAAAGGGAAAGACUUGGCUAGGUUGUGGCAAGCAAACUUCUUCGCUAUUAUGUGGAGAAAUUUAGAGGGGAGGCUAGGGAGUUAGAGAGUUUUUUUGGAAAAAAAAAAAAGAGACGGGACUUUACAUUAAGAGAAUGAAAAAAAAGACCAAUGUUCAAAGAAGUGAAAAAGAGCAACAUAGCACAAAAAAAAGACAUAGGAACAUAAUG